AACGCACCUUGCGCCCACUGGCAAUCCGGUGGGCUUGCCUGUUCGAGCGUCAUUACACCUAUCGAGCCCGGCUUGGUGUUGGGAGUUGCCGUCCGCGCCGCGCGGACGCUCCCUAAAGCAGUCGGCAGCCGUGCCCGGCCUCAGACGUAGCGGGAAAUUCAUCCAUUUACACGUCUCCGGGGUCCGUAGUUUCGGUUCCGCCCCUAGUGAUUUUUGGACAUGCCACGACUGUUGACCUCGGAUCAGGUAGGAGUACCCGCUGAACUUAA
RNAcentral lists this unclassified non-coding RNA (269 nucleotides) under uncultured fungus. RNAcentral's name for it is "partial contains 5.8S ribosomal RNA, internal transcribed spacer 2, and large subunit ribosomal RNA". The record is from RNAcentral. Lineage: Eukaryota; Fungi.